UACGGAGGUUGCAAGCGUUAUCCGGAUUUAUUGGGUUUAAAGGGUGCGUAGGCGGAUUUGUAAGUCAGUGGUGAAAGCCUGUAGCUUAACUAUAGAAAUGCCAUUGAUACUGCUAAUCUUGAGUACAGUUGAGGUGGGCGGAAUGUGCAGUGUAGCGGUGAAAUGCUUAGAUAUUGCACAGAACACCAAUUGCGAAGGCAGCUCACUAAAGUGUAACUGACGCUGAGGCACGAAAGCAUGGGGAG
Molecule: ribosomal RNA, 245 nt
Filed under: uncultured bacterium
Lineage: Bacteria
Description: partial 16S ribosomal RNA
Rfam family: Bacterial small subunit ribosomal RNA
Source: RNAcentral